Molecule: transfer RNA, 76 nt
Filed under: Planctomycetota bacterium
Lineage: Bacteria; Pseudomonadati; Planctomycetota
Description: Planctomycetes bacterium (groundwater metagenome) tRNA-Gln
Source: RNAcentral
UGCCGGGCACUCUGUAUCGGCAUCGGAGCCCUGUUUCUGAAACAGGUGGCUGGACGUUCGACUCGUCCCCCGGCAG